This 160-nucleotide ribosomal RNA is filed under the name Lysinibacillus sp. A1. RNAcentral describes it as "partial 23S ribosomal RNA". It matches the Rfam family "Bacterial large subunit ribosomal RNA", at positions 1 to 156 of the family's 2925-position model. The record is from RNAcentral. Lineage: Bacteria; Bacillati; Bacillota; Bacilli; Caryophanales; Bacillaceae.
GAUAGGUUAAGUUAUUAAGGGCGCACGGCGAAUGCCUUGGCACUAGGAGCCGAAGAAGGACGGCACUAACACCGAUAUGCUUCGGGGAGCUGUAAGUGAGCUUUGAUCCGGAGAUUUCCGAAUGGGGGAACCCACUACGUUUAAUCGCGUAGUAUCUUGA